This 91-nucleotide transfer RNA is filed under the name Deltaproteobacteria bacterium. RNAcentral's name for it is "tRNA-Ser". It matches the Rfam family "tRNA". From Rfam's summary of the family: Transfer RNA (tRNA) molecules are approximately 80 nucleotides in length. Their secondary structure includes four short double-helical elements and three loops (D, anti-codon, and T loops). Lineage: Bacteria; Pseudomonadati; Myxococcota; Myxococcia. The record is from RNAcentral.
GGAGAGAUGGCCGAGUAGGUCGAAGGCGCUCGCCUGCUAAGCGAGUGCUCCGUGAUAAACGGAGCCGAGGGUUCGAAUCCCUCUCUCUCCG